Molecule: long non-coding RNA, 741 nt
Organism: Phacochoerus africanus (Common warthog)
Lineage: Eukaryota; Metazoa; Chordata; Mammalia; Artiodactyla; Suidae
Exons: 3
Source: RefSeq, a predicted model, not a curated record
GGGUUGUUGGUUUGGUGGAGGGAAGCUGGAGAUACAACGAGAAGCGGGGAGAUUGGGUGCUGGGGCAGUGCCAACGCCUCGCCCCUCCCCUUCACCGAGUCCGCCCCACAGCGUGGGAUUUUACAACCCAAGUACCUGGGAGGUGUUGAAGGGUGGAAGGACCGGCGGGCACGUUUCCUGGGGGGAGGGGCGCGCUAAUCGCGCUGGGGACUGAGAGCCAGAUUCCUUCUCUCUUGCCCUUGGCUCUGCGCUCAGACGCCGGCGUUUCCUCUCGCGGAGCACCUCGCCCCUGCCUCCCCUUCACCUACCCGCUUCUCUAGGUCAGGAAUUCUAACAGUUUGGAUAGGUGGUUCUGGCUUGGAGGGUUCUCUCAGGAGGUUGUAGCGAGAUGUCAGCUGAAGCCUUGUGAAGACUUGACGCAUCAUGGAGGAUCCAUUUCCAAGGGGUCAUUCACAUGGCUGGCACAAUUGACGCAGUACUUCUCAAGUUCCUUGUGGUUGGAAGGAGCCAUGACAUUAAUUCUGGCUAAUGAAAUAUGAGCAGAAGUAACAUAUAUGGGAUUCACCAGUUUCUCCUUUUUCUUCCACCACCUCCUUCUGGCCAUGUGUUCCAGAUGGUACGGCUACAAGCUGGUGGAAACUUCAUCUGCCUGAGUCCUUCAGUAAACUAUGUGGAACAGAGUUUUUAAUUCACAUGGAGUAUGGAUUGAGAAGAAGAAAUAAAUGUGUGUUAAUUCACUGA